CUCAGCCAAAAAUCUAAGCUUAGCUCUAAAGGAGGCUGCAGUCUUGAUGCACUUUGCAUCCAGAGAUCUCAAAGAACUUUAUGCGUCAUUUAUUGUGAGACUUGUGUAAAAGACUAAUUAGUUACCUGAGGCUUGAGAAUGGGAUGGGGGUAGAUGUCUGAGGCAUAUUUAUACAAUAAUCCAGUUGGUGGGGGAGGGGGGAGACAUCUCUGGUUUAGCAGUUUCCGCUUCUUCUCUGAAGCACCUUCUCACAGUACUCUUAGCAGUGAAAACACGAAAUGGCCAAAGAGAGGUUUUGCUUCUUACUCCAAAGUCCAUUCUUAAGCAGCUGGUCAGAUACAUGCAGAGCACAGAGCCCUGCUUGGGAAGGUAGCUUCGGAGAACAAAUUGCCACCUAAAACGAUUGGGCAGGACCAGCUUCUCCCAAAGCUAAAAAUGGUUUGAAAUUGAGACUCCAAGCAAGCAGAUUCUUUUCUUCUGGCAGUGAAAAUGUGAAGAUCUGAGCCAUAUGAAAUGAAGCCAGUUUUCAGUGAGUGCAUUUUGCUGAAACUAAGAGUGACCUGUGUGUGUCCAUGACUUCUAGAAGUUGAUAACUGAGUAGUCCUUUGUCACACAAAGGAAGCAAGAGACCUGAGGAUCAGGGGGACACAUGACUCACAACACCCUCCAAGGCAAAAAGGACAAGUAUUAGGAAGGUGAGAGAAGCAUGCAAGGUGUAUGCAUCAGCUAUGCCCAUGGUGAAGCUCAAGCCAGAAUGCUAUGAAUUGAGGCCACAAGCACAAAGGUCAAGGUAGAAAAUAAAAACCUCCACCUCCAUUUGUAAGUAAUGUGUGUCCCUCGCUCUCUCAUUCCUUUCCUCAAUUUAGCUUCAUAAGCCUUUGUUGAAGGAUUUUCUGUCUCAUUUAAAAAUAAAGGUGGGUGAGAGAGUGUUGUUUUCAGAUGAGCAGGCCAGAUGCGACAGCCUCCGUGGAGUAAAUACAUAUUCUGAUUUCUUUGUUUGUUUGUUUGUUCUGCUUAUAUAAAAAUAACUUAUGGAAGCUGAAAUACUGCAAGUGUGUAUUAAAAGCUGAAGAGACAAGGGUUUGGAGCAAUGAAUGAGAUGAAAGAGAAAGCUGCUUCAGGCAAGAUGAAAGCCAAGCAAAGGGCCGUUAAUCAUCCCAGCUGGAGAUAAACAAGAGAAAAACAGUGUCUCCUCAGAGGCGAGGAGGAGCCCCACUAUCCACCGUGGAAAUGUCUCUGACAUCGAAGUUACUGAGCUGGUUACUAAGCUUUCUAUUUCUGCUCUGUCAAAGUCAUCCCAUUAAAACUUAAAAUAAGCCUGCAA
Marmota monax (woodchuck) is the source of this 1324-nucleotide long non-coding RNA. RefSeq lists it as uncharacterized. The transcript has 3 exons. Lineage: Eukaryota; Metazoa; Chordata; Mammalia; Rodentia; Sciuridae. The record is from RefSeq and is a predicted model, not a curated record.